Molecule: ribosomal RNA, 520 nt
Filed under: uncultured Glomus
Lineage: Eukaryota; Fungi; Glomeromycota; Glomeromycetes; Glomerales; Glomeraceae
Description: SSU rRNA
Rfam family: Eukaryotic small subunit ribosomal RNA
Source: RNAcentral
AGCAGCCGCGGUAAUUCCAGCUCCAAUAGCGUAUAUUAAAGUUGUUGCAGUUAAAAGCUCGUAGUUGAAUUUCGGGAUCAAAGAAUCGGUCAUGCCUUGGUAUGUACUGGUUUUAUUGGUUCUCACCUUCUAAAGAACUAUGAUGUCAUUCAUUUGAUGUUAUGGGGAAUUAGGACUGUUACCUUGAAAAAAUUAGAGUGUUUAAAGCAAGCUUACGCUUGAAUACAUUAGCAUGGAAUAAUGAAAUAGGACAUCAGAUUCUAUUUUGUUGGUUUCUAGGAUCGAUGUAAUGAUUAAUAGGGAUAGUUGGGGGCAUUAGUAUUCAAUUGUCAGAGGUGAAAUUCUUGGAUUUAUUGAAGACUAACUACUGCGAAAGCAUUUGCCAAGGAUGUUUUCAUUAAUCAAGAACGAAAGUUAGGGGAUCGAAGACGAUCAGAUACCGUCGUAGUCUUAACCAUAAACUAUGCCGACUAGGGAUCGGAUGAUGUUAAUUUUUUAAUGACUCAUUCGGCACCUUACG